This 253-nucleotide ribosomal RNA is filed under the name uncultured bacterium. RNAcentral's name for it is "partial 16S ribosomal RNA". It matches the Rfam family "Bacterial small subunit ribosomal RNA", at positions 524 to 776 of the family's 1533-position model. The record is from RNAcentral.
UACGAGGGGGGCGAGCGUUGUUCGGAAUUAUUGGGCGUAAAGGGUGCGUAGGCGGUUCCGCAAGUCCUGUGUGAAAUCUUCGGGCUCAACUCGAAGUCUGCACGGGAAACUGCGGGGCUUGAGUGUGGGAGAGGUGAGUGGAAUUCCCGGUGUAGCGGUGAAAUGCGUAGAUAUCAGGAGGAACACCUGUGGUGUAGACGGCUCUCUGGACCGCAACUGACGCUGAGACACGAAAGCGUGGGUAGCAAACAGG